Molecule: transfer RNA, 72 nt
Filed under: Alphaproteobacteria bacterium
Lineage: Bacteria; Pseudomonadati; Pseudomonadota; Alphaproteobacteria
Description: tRNA-Arg
Rfam family: tRNA
About the family: Transfer RNA (tRNA) molecules are approximately 80 nucleotides in length.
Source: RNAcentral
GCCCUCGUAGCUCAGAGGAGGAGCAGCGGUUCGCGAAGCCGCAGGUCGCAGGUUCGAUUCCUGUCGAGGGCU